Molecule: ribosomal RNA, 1372 nt
Filed under: uncultured bacterium
Lineage: Bacteria
Description: bacterial SSU rRNA
Rfam family: Bacterial small subunit ribosomal RNA
Source: RNAcentral
GAUGAACGCUGGCGGCGUGCCUAAUACAUGCAAGUCGAGCGAACGGACGAGAAGCUUGCUUCUCUGAUGUUAGCGGCGGACGGGUGAGUAACACGUGGAUAACCUACCUAUAAGACUGGGAUAACUUCGGGAAACCGGAGCUAAUACCGGAUAAUAUUUUGAACCGCAUGGUUCAAAAGUGAAAGACGGUCUUGCUGUCACUUAUAAAUGGAUCCGCGCUGCAUUAGCUAGUUGGUAAGGUAACGGCUUACCAAGGCAACGAUGCAUAGCCGACCUGAGAGGGUGAUCGGCCACACUGGAACUGAGACACGGUCCAGACUCCUACGGGAGGCAGCAGUAGGGAAUCUUCCGCAAUGGGCGAAUGCCUGACGGAGCAACGCCGCGUGAGUGAUGAAGGUCUUCGGAUCGUAAAACUCUGUUAUUAGGGAAGAACAUAUGUGUAAGUAACUGUGCACAUCUUGACGGUACCUAAUCAGAAAGCCACGGCUAACUACGUGCCAGCAGCCGCGGUAAUACGUAGGUGGCAAGCGUUAUCCGGAAUUAUUGGGCGUAAAGCGCGCGUAGGCGGUUUUUUAAGUCUGAUGUGAAAGCCCACGGCUCAACCGUGGAGGGUCAUUGGAAACUGGAAAACUUGAGUGCAGAAGAGGAAAGUGGAAUUCCAUGUGUAGCGGUGAAAUGCGCAGAGAUAUGGAGGAACACCAGUGGCGAAGGCGACUUUCUGGUCUGUAACUGACGCUGAUGUGCGAAAGCGUGGGGAUCAAACAGGAUUAGAUACCCUGGUAGUCCACGCCGUAAACGAUGAGUGCUAAGUGUUAGGGGGUUUCCGCCCCUUAGUGCUGCAGCUAACGCAUUAAGCACUCCGCCUGGGGAGUACGACCGCAAGGUUGAAACUCAAAGGAAUUGACGGGGACCCGCACAAGCGGUGGAGCAUGUGGUUUAAUUCGAAGCAACGCGAAGAACCUUACCAAAUCUUGACAUCCUUUGACAACUCUAGAGAUAGAGCUUUCCCCUUCGGGGGACAAAGUGACAGGUGGUGCAUGGUUGUCGUCAGCUCGUGUCGUGAGAUGUUGGGUUAAGUCCCGCAACGAGCGCAACCCUUAAGCUUAGUUGCCAUCAUUAAGUUGGGCACUCUAAGUUGACUGCCGGUGACAAACCGGAGGAAGGUGGGGAUGACGUCAAAUCAUCAUGCCCCUUAUGAUUUGGGCUACACACGUGCUACAAUGGACAAUACAAAGGGCAGCGAAACCGUGAGGUCAAGCAAAUCCCAUAAAGUUGUUCUCAGUUCGGAUUGUAGUCUGCAACUCGACUACAUGAAGCUGGAAUCGCUAGUAAUCGUAGAUCAGCAUGCUACGGUGAAUACGUUCCCGGGUCU